CUGCCUACGGGGGGCAGCAGUGAGGAAUAUUGGUCAAUGGCCGGAAGGCUGAACCAGCCAAGCCGCGUGAAGGACGAAGGUGCCAAGCAUUGUAAACUUCUUUUGUCAAGGGACAAAAUCAGGCUCGAGAGCCUGACCGAGGGUACUUGAAGAAAAAGCAUCGGCUAACUCCGUGCCAGCAGCCGCGGUAAUACGGAAGGUCCGGGCGUUAUCCGGAUUUAUUGGGUUUAAAGGGAGCGUAGGCCGGUCUUUAAGCGUGCCGUGAAAUUUUGUGGCUCAACCAUGAGAGGGCGGCGCGAACUGGG
Molecule: ribosomal RNA, 305 nt
Filed under: uncultured bacterium
Lineage: Bacteria
Description: bacterial SSU rRNA
Rfam family: Bacterial small subunit ribosomal RNA
Source: RNAcentral